Molecule: ribosomal RNA, 811 nt
Filed under: uncultured bacterium
Lineage: Bacteria
Description: bacterial SSU rRNA
Rfam family: Bacterial small subunit ribosomal RNA
Source: RNAcentral
AUUGAACGCUGGCGGCAGGCUUAACACAUGCAAGUCGAACGAUGAAACCUAGCUUGCUAGGUGGAUUAGUGGCGGACGGGUGAGUACAACUUAGGAAUCUACCUAUUAGCGGGGGAUAGCUCGGGGAAACUCGAAUUAAUACCGCAUACACCUUACGAGGGAAAGGGGCCUGACCACUAAAUUUAAUUUAUAGUGUAUUUUAUUUACAAUAAUAUAAUUAAGUUAAAUUUAGUGGUCAGGUCUCACUAAUAGAUGAGCCUAAGCAAGAUUAGCUAGUUGGUGGGGUAAAAGCCUACCAAGGCGACGAUCUUUAGCUGGUCUGAGAGGAUGAUCAGCCACACUGGGACUGAGACACGGCCCAGACUCCUACGGGAGGCAGCAGUGGGGAAUAUUGGACAAUGGGGGCAACCCUGAUCCAGCCAUGCCGCGUGUGUGAAGAAGGCCUUUUGGUUGUAAAGCACUUUAAGCAGUGAGGAAAAGCUAUAUGCUAAUACCAUAUAGCCCUGACGUUAACUGCAGAAUAAGCACCGGCUAACUCUGUGCCAGCAGCCGCGGUAAUACAGAGGGUGCAAGCGUUAAUCGGAAUUACUGGGCGUAAAGCGAACGUAGGUGGUCAAUUAAGUCAGAUGUGAAAUCCCUGAGCUCAACUUAGGAACUGCAUCUGAUACUGAUAGACUAGAGUAGGUGAGAGGAGAGUAGAAUUCCAGGUGUAGCGGUGAAAUGCGUAGAUAUCUGGAGGAAUACCGAUGGCGAAGGCAGCUCUCUGGCAUCAUACUGACACUGAGGUUCGAAAGCGUGGGUAGCAAACGGG